RNAcentral lists this long non-coding RNA (4757 nucleotides) under Gossypium barbadense (sea-island cotton). RNAcentral's name for it is "long non-coding RNA (GBAR_LNC006071)". Lineage: Eukaryota; Viridiplantae; Streptophyta; Magnoliopsida; Malvales; Malvaceae. The record is from RNAcentral.
UUUUAUUUCUCUCCCCCCCCCAAUUCCCUUCUUUCCCGAUUCCACUCUCUUUCUCAGCCAUUCUCAGCCUGUACUUCUAUUUCUCUCCCCCGAUUCCCUUUUCUUUCCCAAUUCCCUUUUCUUUCUCAGCCUUUCUCUGACUAAGCCAUUUGCCUAAAUCAUAGUUCCCCCGAAACCCUCAUUUUCUCCCAAAUCAUAGUUCCCCCAAAACCCCAAAAUUUCCCUAAAUCAAACCCAUUUGCUGUCUCCCUCUCUCUUUUCGAUCGACAGGUAUCAUAAUUUUCUAAUCAAACCCAAAGCUCAUUCUUUCAUUUUGAUUUCAUUGCAGCAAGCAAGCCAUUUAUUUUUGAUUUCAUUUCGACUUCAAUUUCACUUCUGUUUUAUUUUUGCAGCAAGCAGAAAGAUUAAGGGAUUUCAUUUUGAAAUCAAACCCGAUUGAAGGCUACCUUUGGCGAGUCCAUCAAAUCAAGGUACUCUUAUUUACUUGUUCUUUUGAAUCCUAGACUUUAGCAUGCUGACAUUUAUAUUUUUUUUCUUUUGUGUUCUUUAGUAUAUGCCAUCUAUUGGGAAUUUUAUUGUUGUUCUCUUUCCCUCUGCGUAUGUAGUUAGUUUCCUAUUAUGGGAAUUUAUUUUGUUGGUUUUGAUUUCUGCGUUUGAUUUUGGCUUUUUGGUUCUUUGAGUCGGAAGAUUGAUGGCCUUUUAUGGGCUAGUUUGAUUUAUAUUGGCAUUUGAUUAUACAUGAUUGGAAAAUGGUUUAAUAUGUAUAGAUUCUCCAAGACUAGAAACUUUAUCCUUGAUGUUUCAAGUUACUGAAUGAUGAACUUGGCUGUCUUGAAACUACAACCUAUACAUGAGUGACCUUCGAUACCGUAAACAUGUUUUCAGUUAUCAGUUCAGUGUCUUCUCAUGUGAUCAUUGGUAGAAGCAAUUCCUUGUAGGAUUAGAUAGUUUAGGUUAGAUAACCCGACCUAUAUUGAAUUGCUUGCUCUAUUUAUUGUGUUUUGGUUUCAAUGGUCAAUAUUCUGGGCUUAUUAAACUCUAAAAAUGCGUGUCACCAGUCAUCCUCAUGAAAACAUGCCUCAAAAACACUCUUUGCUUCUGCUGUUGUGCUUGUGCUGCCUUACACUCAAAUAUUUAUGUUACCAAUCUUAGCUGGUCCAGUCACCUUUUCUUCCAUGAUCUUCUGCAUAUUGUGUAACAUUAAUACAUCCUUCCUUAUCCUGCAUUGCUUUUACACUGUUAAAUAGCGGGUAGUAGCUAUCCCUGAAGUUUUCUGGAGAACUUUAGAGUCAUAAAAACCCUGGCUAAAGACUUCCUGAUUCUGAAAUUUGCUGCCUUGCGUUGGAGGGCACCUAUUGAUAUAAUUAAUAAUUACGACCUUUUUUAGGUAAAAUAAUGUGAAUUUGCAUUUAAUUAAAUUGUUUAUUUACCAUAGAAUCUUUUUUCGCAAGCCCCAUGAUAUAUAUUUUCAUUUCUCAUUAUUUUCUUCUAAGAUCUUUUUAUCAUAAUACUAAAUCUACAGUUAAUGGCUCUCUACCAUCUUAAAAGUUGAAUUAUAGUCUAAAUCACCAUUUUUUCCCUUUAAUUUCUUCGGUUAAUAAUUAGUACGGUAAACGUGGACCAAUUGCCAUCUUUAAAAUUAGUUGAAAUGACUCUUGAAACCAACAAAAAAGCUGGUACACUUCUCAAAUUUUUAUUUUUAUUUUGGUGGAAAACAUUUCUCAAAAUUUUAACCACGGUGUGACAAGAGAUAUGUAUUUCUUCUUAACUUGGCGAGCUAUACAGACUUCGCCAAUACAAAUUAGUCACGCUUCAUAAUUGUGAAUCGGUAAGCAACUCACCAUUUUUCUAUAUAAAAAAACAUUUGGGCAAAUCAAAUUUAUUAUACAUUUUCAUGACAAGUCUCGCCAGCUGUUAUCAAUUUUAUUAUGUGCAUGCCUCGCCAUUUUCUUUUUAUUUUGGUAUAUAUCAUUGAAGCUUGGCAGUAUACAUACUAUUGGUGCUUAUAAUUUGCUCAUAUCGUUGGCUGUCAUUAGUGAUACCGUAACUGCAUAUUUGUUUUAUUUUCUCCUUAAUCCUCAAGUCAUGCUCUAAGAAAUACACUCAAUUGAAGUUUGGAGCAACUCUAUCCUCUUUUAGUUCUCUGAUCUUAUGAAUGUGCAGAGCAUGUUUGUAAUGUCUCUGUCAUAGUGGCUUCAUCAUAUGAUAUCAAUUACUAUGUUACACAUUGAUGGUUAGAAAGCUGUAAUUAAUUAUUUUUUAUUCAAUUUGAUGGCUCGGAAUAAAUUGUUUGUGGUGAUGCAUGCAUAUUCACGUAACAGAUGAUGUGAUUGUUAUACAUAGCUGCUACAUGAGUUGAGACCUGAUGAGAGUAAGUUGGAGAAUAGCCUGUGUUAUCCAAAAAUUAGUAUUUUGUUCUAACAAUUACUCUUUUGCAUGCUAACUCAGCAUAUUACAGUGACAUCUGUGUCGGAUCAAUUGCUUGCCGGCUGGAAAAGAAGGAAGGUGGGGCUAUCCAUUUGUACAUCAUGACAUUGGGGUUAUCCAUUUGCCAGCAUAUUACCCUAGACUUCUGUGAUGAGUUAAAUGGAUUUAACUCAAUUGAAUAAUGAUUAAUUCACUUGUUUUAAGUGUUUUUUUUCAUUUUAUAUUUUUUAUAUAAAAAAUAUAUAUACUUAAAUCACAAAAUGAUAACUAAACUAUACUUGUUUUCCCAAAUUGAUAUUUAAACUUUUUUGUUGUCAUAAGUGGUACUUAAACUAUACCACUUACCCAUUUUAUCUCUGUUGUUAAAGAAAUUCCCUUAACCAAUCAUUUUGUGGCACGAUAUAAUUUUUAACUAAAAUAUCCAAAAAAAAGAUUAAAUAUUAUUUCCUUUAUAAACAUAUUUAUCUUUUUUUGUUUUCACCUAAAAGUUCUAGUGAAAAAAAAUUCAAGAACUAAUCGAGAAACACAUUUGAACCUAGUUUUCGACAAUAAAGCUUAGAUUGCGAUGAGUGUUUUUUUUCUUUUUAAUUUUUUAAUAUAUUCUACUGACACAUUGCAAUUCCAAGUAUCUAUGUUAGUGAUUUAGUAUCUCUUCUUAAAUUUGAAUCUCGAUGAUAAUUAGACUGGAGGAUGCCAUUACUGUAGUAAGGAUCCUUUAAAUAUUUACCUUUUUUUAAUAAAUUUUGAACUAGAGUGAACUGGCAAAAGUGUUGUUAAGAAGCUGAGGGUGUUACCGUUGCUCAACCAAUUUAAUAAUUUAGGUUGAUGCUAUAAUGUUAUUGAAAGGCAUAUUUGAGUCAGAUUAUUUUUUUAUUUUAUGGCUGUUUAUUGUUUGCAGGUGUAAUUUAAUUUGCUAGAAUUGACUCUUCCAUCCAAUUUAUAAUUUUUAAGAGGUAUGUAUAUUUAAUUUGCUAAAUCUUUAUUUCUAGGAGAUUAUAUUUGGUAUGUAUUCCAUGAGCUAAUUACAAGGUAAUUACAAUUUCAAAUAGGUAUGUAUAUUUAAUUUGUUAAAUUUGUUUUUAACUUGUUUUUUAAUGGAUCAUUAAUGGAUCAUGUUUUUAACUUAUUUCAAGUCUGUCCUUUGAUUAUUUUUUUUAAUUUGCUUAUGUUGUUUAUCCUUAGAGACUUGUUAUGUUGUCUUUAAUUUUUUUAAUUUGCUUAUUCUGCUUAUCCUUUGGAUCUCUUUGCUACUAGUUCCAAUGCGUAUGUUCUUCUCAUUGCUACUGGAAACCUUUGCGUAUGUUGUUAAGUAUGAAUAAGUAUGAAUUAAUUUUAUUACCAUGUAGCUUGCUUGUCCAUUAAAAUUACAACAAUAGCUGACCUUCUCUCCAACCUUUUUUUAAAUAUUUUAAAGAUUCAAAGUAUAUAGGCUGGAAACCUGACGGGUUGCCUUAUAUCGAGCUGUAAGAUAUAAUGGAUCCUCCCUAGGUGUAACAACGCCACGUAUGAUGAAUCUUAAAAAAUUCAAAAAGACUUGAAAAAAGUUCUAUCGAGCUCAUUUACUAUUGAAUAUUUAUUACCAUGUAGCUUGCUUGUCCAUUAAAAUUACAACAAUAGCUGACCUUCUCUCCAACCUUUUUUUAAAUAUUUUAAAGAUUCAAAGUAUAUAGGCUGGAAACCUGACGGGUUGCCUUAUAUCGAGCUGUAAGAUAUAAUGGAUCCUCCCUAGGUGUAACAACGCCACGUAUGAUGAAUCUUAAAAAAUUCAAAAAGACUUGAAAAGAGUUCUAUCGAGCUCAUUUACUAUUGAAUAUUUAUUACCAUGUAGCUUGCUUGUCCAUUAAAAUUACAACAAUAGCUGACCUUCUCUCCAACCUUUUUUUAAAUAUUUUAAAGAUUCAAAGUAUAUAGGCUGGAAACUUGACGGGUUGCCUUAUAUCGAGUUGUAAGAUAUAAUGGAUCCUCCCUAGGUGUAACAACGCCACGUAUGAUGAAUCUUAAAAAAUUCAAAAAGACUUGAAAAAAGUUCUAUCGAGCUCAUUUACUAGGUGCAACAACUUAGAGCGGAGGCAGCAGAGAGGGAGGCAGCGGCUGCAGCGAGAGAGACAGAGGCACGAGCGAUGGUAGCAGAGCAAAGCAAAAAGUACGAUGACCUCCAGCUACAGCUUCAUCAGAUGAUGCAUAUGUUUCAGCAAUCGCAAAAGCCGCCAUCUUAGACAUUAGUUUUCUUAUUGUAAGAAUGUUUUUAAGUUUUGUCACGUUUAACAGUAUUGUAAAAAUAUUUUAAAUUAUACUUUAUUUAUUAAUUAUAUCAUAUAUCUUUAGUUAAA